RNAcentral lists this transfer RNA (85 nucleotides) under Felis catus (domestic cat). It matches the Rfam family "tRNA". Rfam says of the family: Transfer RNA (tRNA) molecules are approximately 80 nucleotides in length. Their secondary structure includes four short double-helical elements and three loops (D, anti-codon, and T loops). Further hydrogen bonds mediate the characteristic L-shaped molecular structure. tRNAs have two regions of fundamental functional importance: the anti-codon, which is responsible for specific mRNA codon recognition, and the 3' end, to which the tRNAs corresponding amino acid is attached (by aminoacyl-tRNA synthetases). tRNAs cope with the degeneracy of the genetic code in two manners: having more than one tRNA (with a specific anti-codon) for a particular amino acid; and 'wobble' base-pairing, i.e. permitting non-standard base-pairing at the 3rd anti-codon position. Lineage: Eukaryota; Metazoa; Chordata; Mammalia; Carnivora; Felidae. The record is from Rfam by way of RNAcentral.
GCCCGGGUGGCUCAGUCGGUUGAGCGUCCGACUUCGGCUCAGGUCAUGAUCUCGCGGUUCGUGGGUUCGAGCCCCGCGUCGGGCU